This is a long non-coding RNA of Equus caballus (horse), 1218 nucleotides long. NCBI's taxonomy places the organism in Eukaryota, Metazoa, Chordata, Mammalia, Perissodactyla, Equidae. The record is from Ensembl.
CUAAAUCAAAAGAAACAUCUUCCUUCUCAACCUGAAGAGAGCCAACUAAACAGGAAAAUAAAUCUUUGGCAUUCCAAGAGAGUGAUCCUGAAGUGUAACCUCCAUCAUACCAUCUAGAUGAACCACUGUCCAAAAACGUUCUAAUAAAGGCAGAGAAUAAGGUUGUUCCAAGGACCAGUUGAAAAGCCCGAGGUUCCGUCAGUGGCCAGAACUGAAGCUCAUCAUGAUUUGGACACUGCAGCUGAAACCCCAGAGACUUAGGCACUGAGCAACAAUAAAGAUACUGUAUAAUCAACUAGGAUUACGGCAAGAAAACACAAAGUGCUUUUCAGAUCAUAAAAGAAAUGAUUAUCACGAGGAAAGGGAAGUGACUGUUGGAUUCAAAAGGCAAUCAGAGAAAAAUUUUAAAAAGUAAACAUAAAAUAUCACCCUCUAGCCCAGAAGAUGUUAAAAUCUCAAAGAAAAAUUUCCAAAGAAAAUAUAAUAAGCUCACAGAAGAAAAAGCAUUUACGCAAUCCAUUUUAGGCUGUACACUUUGCUAAAUGAUCUGCAAAAUUAGAAAAAGAAACUGAUUCAUUGUAGAGGUGCGUUAUCUGAAGAGUACGUAGUGUCCAGAAAUUUUGUUGUUUCUUUCGUCAGAAUCAAUGUGAGGUUUGCAUUAGUAAGGAUGGUGACGUUAUUAAAACAAAGAAGAAGAAAAAAAAAGCUAGAGAACUGGAUCAAGAUGAGAAGCAAAAGGGAGUGUCAACAAUGUUCAUUUCCCAGUGUGGAGAGAGCUUAUAGAAAUAUAAUAAAGUACCUUCAUUUUCCUUCAGCUAAUACAUAAAGUCAAAAAUCCUCAGUACUCCUGAAAAAAGAUUGUCUCUACAAAUGAUGCACUCUUUAAAUGCCAUUCAAUAGCUGUUGUUGAAGUUUGGCUCCUGAAAAAGCUGCAGCUAUAGUUUUCAUGUGGCAAAAACGUCACUCUGCACUUCAGUUAAUUGUGCAAUGCCUGGCCACUGUUUUGUUUCAUGGGCACAUGUGUCAAUGAUUUCAUUCUUUAACAGUGCUUCUUGUCCUUUUAUGUCUCAAAACACCUGAGGUAAGUUUCAUUCUCCCAUCAGUGACAGUGAUUCUCUACGGUAAUCAUGAGACCUUUUGUAGGAGGCCAUGUUAGGUGCUAGAACCUCUCAGCGGUGGGAAGUUGAGAAGCGACAUCAGAGUCAAAUAUCUUCCUCA